Molecule: ribosomal RNA, 254 nt
Filed under: uncultured bacterium
Lineage: Bacteria
Description: partial 16S ribosomal RNA
Rfam family: Bacterial small subunit ribosomal RNA
Source: RNAcentral
UACAGAGGUGCCAAGCGUUAGGCGGAAUCACUGGGCUUAAAGCGCGUGUAGGUGGGCCGUUAAGUGUCCGCGUGAAAUCCCACGGCUCAACCGUGGAACUGCCGGGCAUACUGGCGAUCUUGAGGCAUUCAGGGGCGAGUGGAACAAAUGGUGGAGCGGUGAAAUGCGUAGAUAUCGGAAAGAACACCAGCGGCGAAAGCGCUCUGCUGGGCCGACACUGACACUGAGAGACGAAAGCUAGGGGAGCGAAUGGG